UUUAUUCCAAAAAGCGACACUUUAUUGAUAGCAAUCAUUUUCAAAAUUAAUGGUUUUCCAAUCGGGUAAGGUGGCUCACGCCUGUAAUCCCAACACUUUGGGAGGAAGAGGUGAGCAGAUUGCCUGACCGGAAGGCGGAGGUUGCAGUGAGCCCAGAUUGCACCACUGCACUCCAGCCUGGGCAACAGAGCAAGACUACAUCUCAAAAAAAAAAAAAAAAGAUGGUUAUUUCAAGGUAGGAUUAUGGGUGAUUAUUUUUCUAUUUCCUGUUGUUUAUAUCUGCACUUUCUCCAACAACAUGCGACUUAUGUAUUUUUAAGUUAUAAAGAAAGUAAAAC
This 338-nucleotide long non-coding RNA is filed under the name Homo sapiens (human). Its description in RNAcentral is "non-protein coding lnc-ZFP64-9:2". Lineage: Eukaryota; Metazoa; Chordata; Mammalia; Primates; Hominidae. The record is from RNAcentral.